RNAcentral lists this unclassified non-coding RNA (266 nucleotides) under uncultured fungus. RNAcentral describes it as "partial contains small subunit ribosomal RNA, internal transcribed spacer 1, and 5.8S ribosomal RNA". The stretch from base 1 to 73 matches the Rfam family "Eukaryotic small subunit ribosomal RNA", at positions 1759 to 1831 of the family's 1831-position model. The record is from RNAcentral. Lineage: Eukaryota; Fungi.
GCAAACUUGGUCAUUUAGAGGAAGUAAAAGUCGUAACAAGGUUUCCGUAGGUGAACCUGCGGAAGGAUCAUUAGUAAGUUUGGCUUUUCCUUUUGCCCGAAAGGGCGGGGGGAGAAGGUUCAUUCUUGUGAACUGGAGGCCCUUUCCGGCCUCGCUUGUUUUUUCUUACUGUUAUUUUUUUUUUAUUGAUUUUUUCACAAGUCAAAAAAAAGAAGACAACUUUCAGCAAUGGAUCUCUUGGCUCUUGCAUCGAUGAAGAACGCAGC